RNAcentral lists this unclassified non-coding RNA (253 nucleotides) under uncultured delta proteobacterium. RNAcentral's name for it is "contains 16S-23S intergenic spacer region". It matches the Rfam family "Bacterial small subunit ribosomal RNA", at positions 524 to 776 of the family's 1533-position model. Lineage: Bacteria; Deltaproteobacteria. The record is from RNAcentral.
UACGGAGGGCGCAAGCGUUGUUCGGAAUCAUUGGGCGUAAAGCGCGUGUAGGCGGCCGAGCAAGUCGGAUGUGAAAGCCCGGGGCCCAACCCCGGAAUUGCAUUCGAUACUGCUCGGCUGGAGUCCCGGAGAGGAGAGCGGAAUUCCCGGUGUAGAGGUGAAAUUCGUAGAUAUCGGGAGGAACACCAGUGGCGAAGGCGGCUCUCUGGACGGUGACUGACGCUGAGACGCGAAAGCGUGGGGAGCAAACAGG